ACAAAAUAAAAAUAUUUUCUUCAGGAUCCACCAUCCCGAGUUCGAUACCCGGCCGCAGAUAAAAAUUUAUUAUAUAAUACAAAAGUACAAUACGUAUUACAUUAGUACAAAAAUGUUUUUUUUAACAUUAGUUAUUCACUAUGCUUGAUGGGGGAAUGUGCUGAUAUAAUAAUAAGAAUAAUGAUGCAGAUACUUAAAUUCAUUGUAAUAAAUCCCGUCAUAAGAAAACAAGAUGUAAGUUCUUAUAGAUCGUACUUGUUUUAUGGUUGUCUUAUAGCUAUAUCUAUAUAACAAUCAAGUUACGCUGGACACUACUAGUUUCGCUAGUAGCGACACGUAGAACUAAUAUAUAGUGUGUAAAUCAGGGUCAGAGUCAGUCGUGAUGCGACAGCCAGAGCAAGCAGUUUUCUAUUAGUCAGUAUACUUUUCAUUAUAUUUUAUGUAUUAAUUCUUUCCUAAUAAAAAUCUAACAAAUUUUUUAAAUUACCAUUUCAAAACAAGAAGUUAUACUCGUGUUUAGAAGAUCUAAUAAUUUUAUGGCAAUAUAGUUCGGUAUAUAGUAUAUAUAAAUGGCAUAAACGCGGUUGGAACAAUGUAAUCCCUACUUGAGUUGUUAGAAUAUUGCAAAGUGAAUUGUGUGUUAUAUUGAUAGUCCGUUAAUCAUAAAAAGAGCAUCGAUAUUUGAAAAAUGCUGGUUAAACAUUUAUGAAUAUGAGGAGUAAAGAAAGUGAUGAAGCAACCUUCAAAGAAUUUUGACACACCAAGGAGAGAGAAAAGUACACAAAUUUGAUCUACGUACGAACAGCAAUAGACGUAAUUAACAUUAAACUACAUAUGAAAUCAGCGUAAGAUAUGUAGUGACAAAAACUGAAAGAAAAUACACAAAUAUGGCCGGAAUUGAAAGAAGUAGACUGGGUUUAUUUCUGCAAUAUAUUAGUUGGUUAAAAGAAACAUAUUAACAUAUAUUUCCUUUACGAAUAUUAACAUAUUACGUUGGUUCUGAAUAUGGGGAGUAAAGAAAGACGUUAAGGAAUAUUCCGCGAAUAUAUUGAGCAGAAAAAAAUGUAAACAAAUUAAAUCUAUAAAAGAGUAACUGAACUCAAUAACAUUAGAGGACAACGAUGGUCAAUAAAAAAGCAGUGUUGUUAAAAAAAGUAAUGACAAAGAUAAAGAUACGACCAAUAACAACGGAGAGAACAAUACUGAAAACGCAGUUGUGGCACAAAAUUUUUAAGAGAUAACAAAAUAUUAUGCAAAUUCGAUCGGAUUAAAGUAGAUCUCGAUCUGGAGCGAUUAAUUGAAAAUUACGACGAAUAUACGAUUUCUGUAUGAGAGGCCCGAUACAGGAUUGAAUCAUUAUGAAUUUGUAGAAUAUAGAAAAGUGACAAUACGGUGAUGCUAUCAUUUCCUCCUGAGUCCAAGGUUAUAUGCGUAAAGGCACCCAGGAAAAAUAAGAUAUGUAUAAAAGUAUUAUUAUAAGUUAGAUGCUCGCACAAAAGCAGGCAAGGAAACAAAUGAAUAGAUUGUAAACAGUAACAAAGAACAUACGGUUCCAAAACUAUUUUUAACCUCUAUCGGACCUCUAACAAGUUACUAUGCGAGCAAUCGUUUCAUAAUAAAAAGCGUGACAUCCAUGAAAUAGGACUGACAAAACAAGAACGUGUUUAAAAUAUAAAGGUCAUAUAGUUAGUAAGUCCACAAAACCGAAGAAUAAUGUACGUUUUUAAUAUAAUCAAAUAUGUCAUUAUGUGAAUGUUAAUAGAACGGGAAUAGACGUAUCUAGAAGAAAAUUUCGAAAAGUUAAUAAGACUCGAAUACGGCAAAUAAGAUAUUAAUAAGAAAAUCUGAGUACAAACCGAAUUAUAACAAUCAAUCUCUAGAUAUUUACUAACAACGGAUGAUAAAAGCAGGAUGAUCAUACCUUUAUUAAAUAUUAACAGCGAAGAUUUCAUGGUCCACGAAGAGACAGUCAUUAAUUGGGGAUGACCAAUAAUACCUAAUGAGAAAUGAAAAGUUAACAAAGAACUCAUUACAUUGAGAGAUAGAUUCGAUAUCUACAUUACAUUAUGAGGUGUUUUACAUCAGAAAUGACAAGAAGAACAGGAAAUAAUACUACAACUGAUGGGAGCUUACACAACCGAACAGAAUGAUUCUCCAUUUUCCAAUCCCGUGAAGAUCAAUAAAAAGAUAGGCGACAUUUAAAUGUCUAUAAACUACUGGACGGUAACACGUAAAAUUGUUAAAUAACCCUUGGGAAGAAGUAGAAAAUCAAUUGGACAGACUGCGAGAUAUCAAGUAUUAUACUAUACUUUAUUUUAGUAUUUAAUGAUUAUCAUGUAUCGACAUCAGAAACUAUAUCGGUAACUAUUGAAGACUGAUGGUUAAAAAAUCCUAGUAUAUUACUGUUUUAAGCAUAUUCGGCAGAUCUUAUCAGUUCAUUAGAAUGUCAUAUGGUUUGUAAUGAGAUCACCGUGUUUAAUCGACUCAAAAGUAACACCUAUACGGUAUCUCCUUUGAGACGAACUCUAUUACUACGUCUUUAUACUGAUUCUUCAAUUUGAAGAGGGAACCUUAGCGGAAUAUUCCAGUUCAGUUUUUAUUUUAAUAUUUCUGUGAAUUAUCUGCGUUUACGUUAUACAGGGUUAGUGAUCUUUUAUGAAGGAUAGAUUUGUUACAGUAUGUGAUUAUUAUAAAUAAGCGGUCAGAAUUAAGUUCUAAGUACGUAUUAGUUUUAUAUUGUGAUCGAUUUAAAUCUUUUGAAAAUCUUGUAGAAAUCUUCCUUAUCAGGAGUUUUAUUACAAGCUAGUGACCAUCAGAUAGGUUCACCUAUCGAAAGGAUAAUCAGAUUAAUUUUGUAUAAAUAUUCAUUUCGUAUAUUAACUCGUCAAGAUAUUAUAAGGAUUCCCAGUUCGAACACUUUAUGUUAUAAUGGUUUGUUGCAAUGAAUUUCGUACUUAUUGACAGAUAGAGAUUGCUCCACUGAUCUCUUGUGAUUCUUGGCUUUAGAAUGAAUUAUUAUGUGUUUUUGCAGUAACUGUAAUAGUUUUAAAGUAAUCACAUGAUUACUAUGAUUUAUUGUUCACAUGGUAUUUAAUUUCAUUCUUGUGUCAGUCAUCAUUUGUUUUAUUUGUCGGAUGUUUCGGAGACUAACACAAUAUUGAUUUUAUGCUUCUAUAUGAAUGCUUUUGUAUCUUGAAUCAUGUAUUGUUAAUUAUUAGUAUUCCAGAUUGCUAAUUUUAGUUCUACAUCUAUUAUUUCUAUUAUUCAUUAGUAGCGUAUUUGUUAGAUUCUCUUUCAACGAGAUUAAAACUGAUCAUUAGAGCGAUAGAAAUCUCAUUACAUUUCUGGUAUUUAAUAUGGUCCAUAUAACUGGUAAAUUUAUUUCAUAGUUAAAUGCAUAGAUCUAUUUAUUUUUAAUUUUUGCAAGCAACUUGAAACUAUUAUAGUUCUUCUCAAGCGCAAUGUAAAAACAAAUAUAGGAAAAAUUGUUCCGAUGUUCAACCGAUUGGUCAUAUCUAAAAUUCGUACAUUCCAUAAUUUGAUUCUUGCUUAAUUGUUCUUCAAAUGUAUAAGAUAUAUAUAUUAAGCAAUAGUCCACUUCUUCUCCCAAGAUUUUCUAUCCAGUACCCGCAUGAUAUUUGAUUCUUUUUUAAUAACUUUUUUAAAGUUAUUGAGAUCAAAAUAUUAUAUAAAUCUUUCAAAAUAGUAAACUUGAUCAUUAAUACUACGAACGGUUCUUGUAUUUGCAAGUACUAACAAAUCUAUUAAACUCUCAUGCAUUGUUUCCCCCGAAAUUAUGCUAUCUGCACUGUUUCCUAAACCGGGAUAUGUAAUUUCCUUUUAUAUAAAAAAACAUUUUUCUAAUUUCUAUCUCCAUUUUAACAUUUGCAAUGCCCAAAUCUUCUCAAUUUAUCUUUAAUAAGAAGAAAAAGGAUAAAUAGAAAUUCCUUAACACUUUACCGGCCGCACGUCUCGUAAAAAUUUAUUCGCUUGACGCCGGCAGUGCUAAUUCGGAUUACUUGGCUUUUCGCACAAAUACUUAUAAAAACAAAAAACUUAUUGACGAAUGUAACUUAUUGUUACCUAAACAAAACAACAACAGAAUGCAAAAGAUAAUAAAGAACUGUCGCCGGCCAGUGAGCGAUACUAUGCACACACCACUGUAGUGCACACGCCAGCUGUUGGCCGCUAUUUCGCGUACACCACUGUGGUGCCGUCGGCCGUUGGCCGCUAUUUUGCGCACGACACCACUGUGGUGUCAUUGGACGGCAUAGUGUUAAUAUAACUAAAAUUAAAUGAGCAAUUAAUUUGUGCGAUGAAUGGGAAGAGAUUGACAUAACUUAAUGAAAACACGAAAAGAAUGAAAAUGUUAUUAUAAGAAUUGUAGAAAAAUGAAAUUAUAUCAAUAAGAUGAACUAGUUUCGAUUUGGAUCAACAUACCUGCUAUCGUUUAAAGUAAAACAAUAGAAUCGAAAUAUAAAGGACCCUACGAAAUCGUGAAGAUUAAAGAUAACAAUAAUUAUCUGAAAGAAGAUAAUCAAUUAGAUAUAGUCCUAUCAACUAGCAUUACUUGUUCUAGUGUUCCUAUUGGUAUACAAUAGUUCACCCCUAUUUGUUAGAGUCUAUUUCGUGAAUAUACGUAAUGAUACCUUCAUUAUUAACUAACUGUUUCUCUCGCGUGAUAAUGCGUGAUAAUUCUGGAAAGCAUUGAUAGCACUAAAUUUAAUCAGAUAUAACUUCGCAAAUAUGUUAAUUGAAAAUUCUGAUCGUAAUCUUCUAUGUUCCUUUUAUGUGACGUCUGUCGUCUAAUAGAUAAAUCGCCUGAAUUCACGAAAUCGUAUACAUCUUUUCGUGACCAAAUUUCGAACACCCCGUCAUAUUCGUAAAGCAAAGCAAGCUGUCCGUAUGCUUCUUUAUUUUGACCGUCUAUAAAAUUUUCUUUUCUCUCCUCGGACCGUACUUCACGUUACUCGUACAUUUACGACCUUUCCCCCUGUCAUUCGUUUGAAACCAUGCAAUUUAUUCUAAAUGUUAGAUUUCCUCAACAUUUCUAAUGGACAAUUCGAUAGAGUCUAAAGUGUCAAUAAAAAAAAUUUCAUCUCGAUUGGCUAAUAAUAUUUAGAGUUUAACUGGAAAAUUACAAACAUGUACUAAGACUUUUAUAUUAAUAAUUAAAUAAUUAUUAUCACCUUAAUAUUCUUUUCUACUAAAUAUUAACACUCUGAAACAUGUACCUCUGAUAACACUGAAUUUAAUUAGAUAGAAUAAGGCAACAACCUAUGAUAAUUGAAAAUUCUGAUUGUGACCUUUUGUGUGACUUUUAUGUGACACUUUUAUUUGUCGUCUAAUCGAUAAAUCGACGGAAUUCACGAAAUCAAAUAAAUGUCUUCGUGACUAAAUUUCGAACUUGUAACAAAGGAUUCGUGAAUUUAAGCAGGUUGUCCGUAUGCUCUCUUAUUUUGACCACCUACAAAAUUUCCUUUUCUCUUUAUCGGACCAUUCUUCGCAUUGUUCGUACAAUCACCAUUUCUCCAUCUUUCAUUCGUUUGAAGCCGUAUGAUUUAUUUCAAAAGUAAGAUUUCCUCAACAUUUCUAAUGGACAAUCCGAUAGAGUCUAAAGUGUCAAUAAAAAAAAUUUCAUCUCGAUUGGCUAAUAAUAUUUCGAGUUUAACUGGAAAAUUACAAACAUGUACUAAAGCUUUUAUAUUAAUAAUUAAUUAAUUAUUGUCCCCUUAAUAUUCUUUUCUACUAAAUGUUGACAUUCUGAAAGAUGUACCUUUGAUAACACUGAAUUUAAUUAGAUAGAAUAGUACAACCACCUAUGCUAAUUGAAAAGUCUGAUUUGGACCUUUUAUGUGACUUUUAUGUGACAUUUGUCGUCUAAUCGAUAAAUCGCUGGAAGUCACAAAAUCAAAUAAACGUCUUCAUGACCAAAUUUCUUACUCGAACUGGCUGAUUUGUAGGAAAACCCGUUAUCCAUGUUGUAUUUCAUAUGCUAUCAUUUCUAUCAACGAUUUAUUCUAAUUAUCGUAGUAAAUUUGCUCGUACUACGUCAUACAUUAUAUGACCAAAAUUCAUAUAUAUGCCAAUAAAUCCGUACACACACAUUGACUUCAAAAAUAAUUGCUUUUCUAUAGUUCAUUUGCGGAUCAUUUAUUGGAUCUACGAGAUCAUGAGCUUAUUUGACCGCACUAAGAUAUGGUAUAGCAUAAUAGUUUGAUAUUACUAUGUCCAUGACUAUACUUGUUUAUUCAAGAUUAAACAAAAUUGUACAUUUGUACGACUUGAGCAAUUUAUACAAGUAAAGAAACGUUUGCGAAGGACGAUAUUUUUCUUAUAAAUAACCAAUUAUUAGUUACUUUACACGAUUUACUUUGUCUUUACGUAUUUACACGAAAUUAAUUUUUACAUGACAUUUCAAACGAUCAUAUAUAGUUUUUUUUUUUUUUUUUUUUUUUUAUAUAUAUCUCCCAGGAAUUUUCCCACAAUUUGUCACGUGAGGCAUUUGGCGAAUUGUUUUACUGAAUUGAGGGUAACACAUGAGUACUGUUCCCAGUGGAAUAGCACUACUACAAUAUCCUGUCGUUUCAGACUUGCGUAACUAGAUAAAUAUUUCCAAGAAUAAUACAUAACCCUUAAGAUAAAGUGCCGCGAAGAAUGAAGAGACGCACUUGUGUCACACAAUCAUUUUUCAAAAUUAGAUAAAUGGCUCUAUAUAUGUUGAAAUGUUUUCUCCUGUACUUUUUCUCCUGUUCCAAUGAUAUUUAACGUUCUUUUUCUUUAAUUUGGUUGAAAUAAAUAAUUCGAUUACUUCGUAAAUCAUUUUACGAAUCUUUGAAAAUAUUUAACUCAACCUAUAAUACUACGUGUUUUCGUAUCCGCAAAUACUGGCUGAACUCUUAAACAAUAAACUUUCUUUUCCCCAAAACUAUGUCAUCUGCACUAAAUUAAAAUUCCAAAUAUUUCAUUACGUAAAAAGUAACCCUUAUCUAACUUCAAUAUGACAUUUGAUGUUUGCACGAAAAAUCUCUCCUAGUUCAAUGAGAAAGGAACAGCUACAGAUAGAAAUCCGUUAACAUAAAAAAUUAAGAAUCUAAGUGAGCAUUUAUGCCACGAUGGACCAUAAAUAUAUUAGAUUAUGUAAGAUUUCACUCUCUCUGAUCAGCAAUUUGUUAAACCUCAUCCACUCAAGUUUUUUUUUUAACUCUCAGGAAUUUCUCCGCAAUUUAUCAUGUGAGGCAUUCGGCGAGUUAUUUUACUGAAUUUGAGAGUAGCAUGUGAGUACUAUUCUCAGUGGAAUAGCACUAUGGCAAUAUCCAGCUAUUUAUCAUUUGUGUAACUAGAUCUUGAGGCUUUUUUUUAAGUUUUUUUGUUGUAUAAUUGUUGUAGAAAUAUUAUCCUAAGUAUCCUUAGCUAGCGCGUUAAAAUGGUUUAAGGUCCUUGUUUUAUUUGUCAGAUAUCCGCCGUAUCUCCUUUGAUACUGGUGGAAUUUAUAAAUUAUUACUUAAGUCCUUGUUUUUGACAUACCAUGCCAUCUCCACAAUUGUGCGGAUUAUUAUUGAUUGCAUAGUUUUCAUUUUGGAGUUAUAGCUUUUAGCUACCGUGUCCCAUAACUUGAUGUACAUCCAAAUAGCCUUCUUAGCCCCGUGGGGCGCGUCGCACCUUAGGAUCUCUCCUAUAUCGGCAUUUGAUCACUUCCGUCGUGUUAGGUUCGUGUAAACUUUAUUAGCGAAACCACGCUUUCCGUCCAGAAUCUGAAAAAAUCCCAGGCGACCGGAGGACGAUUUCGCCAUGCACCUUACGGUACAUGCCCACGAAGAACCACGUGGAGGUACACCUCAUCGCUCGGCCUAGCAAUGGUCCGGCUGUAGCACGUGAACAUAAUAGAAAAAUGCGCGUGGACGUUAAUUUAACUCACAUGCUGAUCGCACUACGAAGACCUCGAAUAAUCGAGUAGUUCAAACACUCUCCGUCGGUCAUGUAGACCAAAAUUCACCUGAUAUAUAAUUAGGUCGGGUGUUUCGAGAAGUUAUUUAUCAAGAAUGAAAGCAAUUUUAUUACUGGCAACAGUUUUAAAUCUUUUUUCAUUUUCAUUAUCUUAUCCAAACUAAUUUCAAAGCGUACCAGGAUUUCCAAUUAAUUCCGAUACGCCGCUACUGGUCUUAUAUCUCCUUUCUUCUCCUUUUCAUAUCUAGUCAACCAUUUUCCAGUCAUGAUUCGGAAGGGGGAUAAAUCCUGAUAAAGUCGGCUUGUUAUCAUAAAAAAUAGAAAAAACCAACUACUACUUACAACUAUAACGUAAGGCACAUUACGUAGCAUAAGGGGUAUAAUCUGAAGCCACUCUCUCAAUGCUGCUACAUUUUGAAACCUUAUUUCUCACAGACAACAAUAUAAAAAACAUCUUAGUAUAUUUUCCAAAACCAAAAUGAGGAAACAAUAUUAUUAAUUGUUAAUUAUAUAAGGAAAGAAUUUGCACUGAUUUAUUUUUACAAUUUUUAAAUCACUUAUAUGUAUAUAUAACAAUAUUGUACAUUUAUUUUAUUUAAUCAAUUGCAUAUUAUGGAAAUGUGGAUUUUUAAGAACACAAAAAGAUCUCUUCGUGGAAAGAAAUCACAUGAGGUUUCAAAGCAGGCCUCGAGAGGAUGUCCACAAGGAUCGGUCCUCGGCCACUCCUGCCGAAACCUCAUGUUCGACCAGUUCCUUAGGAUCCUAGAGGAAUCCUCGGAAGUCAACGCGAUCGCGUACGCGGACGACCUACUCGUCAUCGGAGACUUCAGGAAAGAACUCUAAGAGAAAGGAAAUCGAGUGGUUAACAGCAUCACCGGAUGGUACACGUCGGCGAAAUUGACAAUUUCCGAGCGUAAGACAAAAGCGAUCGUCCUUAUGAGCAAUUGUAUAAAAAAAAAACCCAUCGACAGAAGGGGAGGACAACGUCCGGAUAGAAAGCGGAAAAAGGCGAAAAAGACCGACCUAGCAAGUAGGUCUCCCACCAUAAAGAUAGGAAAUAAUAAUAUUAAAUUUAGGAAUUCAGUUAGAUACCUCGGGGUAUAUUUCGAUAAAGGGCUGGGGGUUACGACACACUGCCGUUACCUCAACGACAAGGUCGGCCCAUUGUUCGCAAAGCUAGAUAGGUUAGCAGCUAGGGAAUGGGGACUCCUCCACUGCGCCCUCCGAGUGAUCUAUCGAGGCGUGUUCACCCCUACGGUCACCUACGCGACAGCAGGAUGGUCUAAUCUCUGUACGGAAGGGGAUCUAAAAAAGUUAAGCACGAUAGCGAUCGGCCCUCAUCUCGGUCACAUCCGCAUAUCGCACAACUGCUACGGAAACCCUCUGCGUCGUAACAGCGGAGUCCACGAUAGAUCUCCAGUUACUGAAACGAAGGAGACUAUACGACAUUAGGAAAAAUAGGUGCACCGAGACAGCUACGCGAAAACUGGAAAGCACGAAGAUUAAGCAGGCGACAGCAAGACAGGUCGAUGAGGAAAUCUCAAGGGUUUGGCAGUCUAGGUGGGAGAACUCCUCCAAGGGAAGGACAACAUACGCGUUUUUCCCGGACAUCAAGAACAGAAUGGGUGUCUGUUUCGUCUCUCCUAACCAUUUCACAAGUCAGUUUCUUAUAGGGCACGGAGCCUUCAAGGCCAAGCUGACGUCGCUGAACAUCACCGCGGAAAGAGCAUGCGAGUGCGGCGAAGAACAUGGUUUCGCAUCACAUCAUCGACUGUCCGGUUUUCGAACCACAGAAAGUGGCUCUGGAAGAAAUUCUCCGUGAAAGGAGUUGGCCGGAAGCAGCGAGACAUCUUGUCUCCACGGCCGAGACCUUCUCCCUCUUCGCGGAGUUUUGCAAAGAAACCCUCAUCAUAAAGGGUCAUUAAUUCAUGAAUCCUGUUCAGCCGGAAUUGUCGGAGUUCUGGUGAUGUGGAUGGGUGCCUAUAAUCCUCUCGAGUUAGCCCAUUCCCGAACAGGAUAGGGUCGGAGAUGCUCGUACGCAUCUUCCUAUUUUUUUUUUUUUUUUUUUUUUUUUUUUUUUU
Long non-coding RNA from Vespa velutina, 10028 nucleotides. RefSeq lists it as uncharacterized. Lineage: Eukaryota; Metazoa; Arthropoda; Insecta; Hymenoptera; Vespidae. The transcript is spliced from 3 exons. The record is from RefSeq and is a predicted model, not a curated record.